GAGAGGAGUAGCGUUGCUUGGUUUAGAACAGUAUUAAGCAAAAUGAAUUUCACUAUUUCAUAAAAAAGGGAUUUAUGAUUUCAGCCUUAGUCAAGAAUGUCUUGGCUGCAAUUGAAACAAAGGCUCCAUUAGUUGAGGAUAUGACUGAUAAUAUAGAACAUUCUUGCCAAAAAUAACACAUAGUGUGAAAAGUUUUUCUAGGUUUUUAGGCCACUAAUUAACACAAAAGCAACAUAUAACUAUUAAAUGCCCAGAUAAAGCAGAUUGAGUCAUUAAGGUAACUAUUUUGUGCACAAAAGAAGCAAGCUUGCUCUCACACGCUUCACACUGUCUAACCGAAUUCCAUAAGUGUAAGCUACUA
RNAcentral lists this unclassified non-coding RNA (361 nucleotides) under Hevea brasiliensis (rubber tree). Lineage: Eukaryota; Viridiplantae; Streptophyta; Magnoliopsida; Malpighiales; Euphorbiaceae. The record is from RNAcentral.